Molecule: ribosomal RNA, 466 nt
Filed under: uncultured bacterium
Lineage: Bacteria
Description: partial 16S ribosomal RNA
Rfam family: Bacterial small subunit ribosomal RNA
Source: RNAcentral
GAUGAACGCUGGCGGCGUGCUUAACACAUGCGAGUCGAACGAUGAAGCCCAGCUUGCUGGGUGGAUUAGUGGCGAACGGGUGAGUAACACGUGAGUAACCUGCCCUUAACUCUGGGAUAAGCCUGGGAAACUGGGUCUAAUACCGGAUAGGAGCGUCCACCGCAUGGUGGGUGUUGGAAAGAUUUAUCGGUUUUGGAUGGACUCGCGGCCUAUCAGCUUGUUGGUGAGGUAAUGGCUUACCAAGGCGACGACGGGUAGCCGGCCGGGGAGGGUGACCGGCCACACUGGGACUGAGAAACGGCCCAGACUCCUACGGGAGACAGCAGUGGGGAAUAUUGCACAAUGGGCGCAAGCCUGAUGCAGCGACGCCGCGUGAGGGAUAACGGCCUUCGGGUUGUAAACCUCUUUCAGUAGGGAAGAAGCGAAAGUGACGGUACCUGCAGAAGAAGCACCGGCUAACUACGUG